UUAUAUUUACCAAUCAGAUGAAAAUAUUUUUUAUCUUUCUUACGUUUGGUACUGUGUAAUUAGAAUUAUAUACGGUAUUAUAUAUUGGGUUAAUUUGCAUACUAGAUAUAUUGAGGGACAAUAUUAACAAAAUAUGUAAUAAAGUGGGUGAUGGAUGAGACAAUUUGAAAUAAAGUUGGACAAAACUAUCUUUUUAUGCUUGUGUGCUUGCAUCUUAUGAAAUGUACAUCUUAUGUAUUAUACUGCAUAUAUUACACAUACAGUAUAGUUCAAACAACUAAUAUCAAUAUGUAUAUUAAUCAUUUGGUUUAUUCGUUUUAAUAACUGCAAAAGAUUUUAGAAAAAAAAAAGGAAAUGUGAAAGAAGAGAGUAAGCAGGAAGAGAUAGAGCAAGAUAGGAAAAAAAAAAAAGAAAUAGAAGGAGAAUGAAGAGAGAGAAAAAAGAAGAAGAAUGAAAAUGAAGUGAAGAAAUAAGUAGGAGGAGGGCAAGAAGAAAAGUGAGAAGUAUAAGAAGGAGAAUGAGAAAAAGGCAGAAAAAAUGAAAAGAAGAAAAAUGUUUAAUAUACUAUAUUAUUUUAAUAAAAUAAAAUAUUAUAUUAUAUUUAAAUAGCAUAUAAUAUGAAGGCGACAAUGCAAAAAAAAAAGAAGUUGUUUUAUAGCAAUAUUAUAUGGGAGAAAAAGGUGAGGGAGGAGGCAAAAAGGAAAAGGAAAAUGAAAAUGAAAAUGAAGAAAAUGAAAAGAAAAAAUGAGAAAGAAGAUGAAGUAAAAAAGAAACCACAAAAAUGAGAAUAAGUGUCAGGAGGAUAGAUAGAAUGAUAAAAAAAAGAAUGAGAAAUAUGAAGAGGAAGAAAUUGAAUCACAGCAAUAUUAUAUGGAAAAAGAUGUGAAAGAGAAGGAAAAGAAAGAAAUGAAAAGAAGUAAAAGAAAGAGAAAAAAAACGAAAAUCAUGACGAAGUGAAGAAAAAUAAGAAAGAGGAGGAGAUAUGAGGAUCAUAAGGAGAAUUGAGAGAAAAAUAACGAUGAUAAUAAGAAAUGGAAGAAGAUGAGAUGAAAAUAAAGAGAAUGGAAAAAAUUUAUAACAUAUUAUAUCGUGUCCGUAAAAUAGUAUAAUAUCCCAAUGGAUUUUAUUUCGAUUGAAAAUUUUACAAAUGGAUAUUUAUGUAUUUUGAAGGAGUAUGUUAUAACACUACGAGUUCAAAUUAACAGAGUUUUGAAAAACAAUUUCCAAUAGAUAAUGCAAGUUUCCUCUAAUU
RNAcentral lists this long non-coding RNA (1252 nucleotides) under Brassica rapa (field mustard). RNAcentral's name for it is "long non-coding RNA (BRAP_LNC007175)". The record is from RNAcentral. Lineage: Eukaryota; Viridiplantae; Streptophyta; Magnoliopsida; Brassicales; Brassicaceae.